RNAcentral lists this unclassified non-coding RNA (335 nucleotides) under soil metagenome. RNAcentral describes it as "partial contains 5.8S ribosomal RNA, internal transcribed spacer 2, and large subunit ribosomal RNA". The stretch from base 1 to 120 matches the Rfam family "5.8S ribosomal RNA", at positions 35 to 154 of the family's 154-position model. The record is from RNAcentral.
GAUGAAGAACGUAGCGAAAUGCGAUAAGUAAUGUGAAUUGCAGAAUUCAGUGAAUCAUCGAAUCUUUGAACGCACAUUGCGCCCCUUGGUACUCCAUGGGGCAUGCCUGUUCGAGCGUCAUUUACACCCUCAAGCUCAGCUUGGUGUUGGGCGUCUGUCCCGCUUCGUGCGCGGACUCGCCUCAAAUGCAUUGGCAGCGGUCUUGCCAGCUUCUCGCGCAGCACAUUGCGCUUCUAGAGGCUUUGGCGGAUCGGCGUCCAUCAAGUACACCCACAGUUUGACCUCGGAUCAGGUAGGGAUACCCGCUGAACUUAAGCAUAUCAAUAAGCGGAGGA